RNAcentral lists this ribosomal RNA (270 nucleotides) under uncultured bacterium. RNAcentral's name for it is "partial 16S ribosomal RNA". It matches the Rfam family "Bacterial small subunit ribosomal RNA", at positions 29 to 326 of the family's 1533-position model. The record is from RNAcentral.
AACGAACGCUGGCGGCAUGCCUAACACAUGCAAGUCGAACGAAGGCUUCGGCCUUAGUGGCGCACGGGUGAGUAACGCGUGGGAAACUGCCUAUUGGUGGGGAAUAACGACGGGAAACUGUCGCUAAUACCGCAUAAGCCCUUCGGGGGAAAGAUUUAUCGCCGAUAGAUGUGCCCGCGUCCGAUUAGCUAGUUGGUGAGGUAAUGGCUCACCAAGGCUACGAUCGGUAGCUGGUCUGAGAGGAUGAUCAGCCACACUGGGACUGAGACA